This 497-nucleotide ribosomal RNA is filed under the name uncultured bacterium. RNAcentral describes it as "partial 16S ribosomal RNA". It matches the Rfam family "Bacterial small subunit ribosomal RNA", at positions 28 to 507 of the family's 1533-position model. The record is from RNAcentral.
GGUGAACGCUGGCGGCGUGCCUAAUACAUGCAAGUCGAGCGAACGGACGAGAAGCUUGCUUCUCUGAUGUUAGCGGCGGACGGGUGAGUAACACGUGGAUAACCUACCUAUAAGACUGGGAUAACUUCGGGAAACCGGAGCUAAUACCGGAUAAUAUUUUGAACCGCAUGGUUCAAAAGUGAAAGACGGUCUUGCUGUCACUUAUAGAUGGAUCCGCGCUGCAUUAGCUAGUUGGUAAGGUAACGGCUUACCAAGGCAACGAUGCAUAGCCGACCUGAGAGGGUGAUCGGCCACACUGGAACUGAGACACGGUCCAGACUCCUACGGGAGGCAGCAGUAGGGAAUCUUCCGCAAUGGGCGAAAGCCUGACGGAGCAACGCCGCGUGAGUGAUGAAGGUCUUCGGAUCGUAAAACUCUGUUAUUAGGGAAGAACAUAUGUGUAAGUAACUGUGCACAUCUUGACGGUACCUAAUCAGAAAGCCACGGCUAGCUACGUG